CACGUAGGGCGCAAGCGUUGUCCGGAAUUAUUGGGCGUAAAGAGCUCGUAGGCGGUCUGUUGCGUCCGCUGUGAAAACUCGGGGCUUAACCCCGAGCCUGCAGUGGAUACGGGCAGACUAGAGGUAGGUAGGGGAGAAUGGAAUUCCCGGUGUAGCGGUGAAAUGCGCAGAUAUCGGGAGGAACACCGGUGGCGAAGGCGGUCUCCUGGGGCAUUCUUGACGCUGAGGCGCGAAAGCUGGGGGAGCAAACGGG
Molecule: ribosomal RNA, 253 nt
Filed under: uncultured bacterium
Lineage: Bacteria
Description: partial 16S ribosomal RNA
Rfam family: Bacterial small subunit ribosomal RNA
Source: RNAcentral